GUACACUCCUGCGGGAGGCAGCAGUGGGGAAUAUUGGACAAUGGGCGCAAGCCUGAUCCAGCCAUGCCGCGUGAGUGAUGAAGGCCCUAGGGUUGUAAAGCUCUUUCACCGGAGAAGAUAAUGACGGUAUCCGGAGAAGAAGCCCCGGCUAACUUCGUGCCAGCAGCCGCGGUAAUACGAAGGGGGCUAGCGUUGUUCGGAAUUACUGGGCGUAAAGCGCACGUAGGCGGAUCGAUCAGUCAGGGGUGAAAUCCCAGGGCUCAACCCUGGAACUGCCUUUGAUACUGUCGAUGUGGAGUAUGGAAGAGGUGAGUGGAAUUCCGAGUGUAGAGGUGAAAUUCGUAGAUAUUCGGAGGAACACCAGUGGCGAAGGCGGCUCACUGGUCCAUUACUGACGCUGAGGUGCGAAAGCGUGGGGAGCAAACAGGAUUAGAAACCCGGGUAGUCCCAUGAU
RNAcentral lists this ribosomal RNA (454 nucleotides) under uncultured organism. RNAcentral's name for it is "partial 16S ribosomal RNA". It matches the Rfam family "Bacterial small subunit ribosomal RNA", at positions 331 to 801 of the family's 1533-position model. The record is from RNAcentral.